Aotus nancymaae (Ma's night monkey) is the source of this 113-nucleotide unclassified non-coding RNA. It matches the Rfam family "Y RNA". From Rfam's summary of the family: Y RNAs are components of the Ro ribonucleoprotein particle (Ro RNP), in association with Ro60 and La proteins. The Y RNAs and Ro60 and La proteins are well conserved, but the function of the Ro RNP is not known. NCBI's taxonomy places the organism in Eukaryota, Metazoa, Chordata, Mammalia, Primates, Aotidae. The record is from Ensembl.
GGCUGGUCCGAAGGUAGUGAGUUAUCUCAACUGAUUGUUCACAGUCAGUUACAGAUCAAACUCCUUGUUUCACUCUUUCCCCCCUUCUCACUACUACACUUGGCUAGUCUUUA